This 414-nucleotide ribosomal RNA is filed under the name uncultured beta proteobacterium. RNAcentral's name for it is "bacterial SSU rRNA". It matches the Rfam family "Bacterial small subunit ribosomal RNA", at positions 291 to 697 of the family's 1533-position model. The record is from RNAcentral. Lineage: Bacteria; Pseudomonadati; Pseudomonadota; Betaproteobacteria.
UCUGAGAGGACGACCAGCCACACUGGGACUGAGACACGGCCCAGACUCCUACGGGAGGCAGCAGUGGGGAAUUUUGGACAAUGGGCGCAAGCCUGAUCCAGCUAUUCCGCGUGUGGGAUGAAGGCCCUCGGGUUGUAAACCACUUUUGUAGAGAACGAAAAGACACCUUCGAAUAAAGGGUGUUGCUGACGGUACUCUAAGAAUAAGCACCGGCUAACUACGUGCCAGCAGCCGCGGUAAUACGUAGGGUGCGAGCGUUAAUCGGAAUUACUGGGCGUAAAGGGUGCGCAGGCGGUUGAGUAAGACAGAUGUGAAAUCCCCGAGCUUAACUCGGGAAUGGCAUAUGUGACUGCUCGACUAGAGUGUGUCAGAGGGAGGUGGAAUUCCACGUGUAGCAGUGAAAUGCGUAGAUAU